This 869-nucleotide ribosomal RNA is filed under the name uncultured archaeon. RNAcentral describes it as "bacterial SSU rRNA". It matches the Rfam family "Archaeal small subunit ribosomal RNA", at positions 27 to 900 of the family's 1478-position model. The record is from RNAcentral.
CCGCUAUUGGAGUUCGAUUAAGCCAUGCGAGUCGCGAGAAAUUAGAUUCUCGGCGUACCGCUCAGUAACACGUGGGUAACCUGCCCUAUGCUGGAUAAUAACCUCGGGAAACUGAGUAUAAUGAUCCAUAGUUCACUACGCCUGGAACGGUGAGUGGAUGAAAGCUCCGGCGGCAUAGGGUGGGCCUGCGGCGUAUCAGGUUGUAGGGGGUGUAACGUACCCUCUAGCCCUCUACGCGUACGGGUGUUGGGAGACAUAGCCCGGAGAUGGAUUCUGAGACACGAAUCCAGACCCUACGGGGUGCAGCAGGCGCGAAAACUUGGCAAUGCGAGAAAUCGUGACCAGGGAACUCCAAGUGCAUCGGGUAAGACCGGUGCUUUUCUUGACUCUAAAUAGGUCUUGGAAUAAGGGGUGGGUAAGGACGGUGCCAGCCGCCGCGGUAAUACCGGCGCCUCAAGUGGUAGUCGCUUUUAUUGGGCCUAAAACGUCCGUAGCCGGUCUGAUACAUUCGUGGGUAAAUCAACCAGCUCAACUGGUUGAAUUCUGCGAGGACGGUCAGACUUGGGACCGGGAGAGGUGUGGGGUACGCUCAGGGUAGGGGUAAAAUCCUGUCAUCCUGAGCGGACCACCUGUUGCGAAGGCGCCACACUAGAACGGAUCCGACGGUCAGGGACGAAGCCUAGGGGCACGAACCGGAUUAGAUACCCGGGUAGUCCUAGGUGUAAACGCUGUGGACUUGAUGUUGGGGGUGCUCCGAGCACUCUCAGUGUCGAAGCGAAGGUGAUAAGUCCACUGCCUGGGAAGUACGGUCGCAAGGCUGAAACUUAAAGGAAUUGGCGGGGGAGCACCGCAACCUGAGGAUUGUGCGG